AUACUUACCUGGCAGGGGAGAUACCAUGAUCACAAAGGUGAUUUUCCCAGGGCGAGGCUUAUCCAUUGCACUGAGGAUACAAACUAAUGGAAGAACAUUCCAUGCUCAUGGGUUGGAAGAAUCAAUAUCGUGAAAAUGGCCAUACUGCCC
RNAcentral lists this small nuclear RNA (150 nucleotides) under Nomascus leucogenys (northern white-cheeked gibbon). Its description in RNAcentral is "U1 spliceosomal RNA (ENSNLEG00000025266.2)". It matches the Rfam family "U1 spliceosomal RNA", at positions 1 to 90 of the family's 166-position model. From Rfam's summary of the family: U1 is a small nuclear RNA (snRNA) component of the spliceosome (involved in pre-mRNA splicing). The record is from RNAcentral. Lineage: Eukaryota; Metazoa; Chordata; Mammalia; Primates; Hylobatidae.